GGGGAGCAGGGAUGGGUGACUGCGGGGCCUCUGACACCCCAGGUGGACUGCAUGGGAGCCACUGAAGCUGACUCAGUGUCCCCUCCCAGCUGCUGCCCCUCAGGAUAGUGAGAUCAUGCAAUAGACACGGUGUCCGGGGUUCUCUACAGAGAGACUCGCUGUGAGCGCCAGGCCUGACCAGGCACAUUAGACUCUGUCGACUCUGACCGCUUUGCCAGCUUUAGUUCACACUAACUGGAAGAAAGGCCUCAGAGUGGCCCGGGGGAAGGUGAGCUCACUUCUGACGAGUCGGUGCUGCAGAGGUUCUCAGUGCUCUCACCGCUGCCUGGCUCCCAGACUGGUCCGGCUUGGCCCUCCACGGCCUACAUACGGAUGCCCAGGAGUCCUCCCACGUUCCUUCCACAGAGACACUUAAGACUCCUUUGCUUUGGGGGAGUAGGAUGCCACCCACGGGAGAGUACCCAUGUCAGCCCCGGGGACACAUCCUGUGGCAAAGGGAGGUGGCGCUCCUGUUCUUCGCCUCAUUUCCUCCGUCUCCCUAUCUCUGUCCUGACCUUUGCCCCACUCCUACAUUCACUGUGUGUGACCAGGGACAAAACAACUAACAAGCUUUUGUUUGUGUGUGUUUUCUUCAGCUUCCUCAUUAGAGUAGAAGCUCCUUAUGGGUUAGAACUGCCCCCGCCAAGGCCCAUAUGCCAAAGGUUUGGUCACCAGCCCUUGGCACUGUUGGGAGGUGGUGGAACCUCAGGAGGAGAGGCCAAGUGGGAGGAAGUUAGGUCACUGGGGUCACACCCUUGAAGGGAUAUCUGGUCCCUUGCACCUUCGAGUCUCUCUCUGCUCUCCAGCAGCCAUGAGAUGGAUGGCUCUCCUCUGCCAGGUGCUUGUGCCUGCUGCAAGCCCAAUGUAGCAGGGCCAAGCCACCGAGGACUGACACCUCUCAAACCAUGA
Molecule: long non-coding RNA, 948 nt
Filed under: Marmota monax (woodchuck)
Lineage: Eukaryota; Metazoa; Chordata; Mammalia; Rodentia; Sciuridae
Source: RNAcentral